RNAcentral lists this long non-coding RNA (304 nucleotides) under Carica papaya (papaya). RNAcentral describes it as "long non-coding RNA (CPAP_LNC015752)". The record is from RNAcentral. Lineage: Eukaryota; Viridiplantae; Streptophyta; Magnoliopsida; Brassicales; Caricaceae.
CCGCAUAUCAAAACACACUGACAUCGGCACCAUGUAAGAGGCCACGCAGGCGAUCUACGUGCUCAGCAAUCCAAUGACCCAGGCUCGAUCUCACGCGCGUGAACAGCUCAAAUUCGUUUCCUCCUUAGGUGCAAUCAGACGGACGAGAUUAAUUGUGAUGAAUGACCCAGAUUCAACCAAAAAUGCCAAAAUUGGCCAGGCCAAGGAGAACUGUCAUUGUGGACGGCGGAGCCAACACCGGAGUACAGUGGCGACACCGUGCUAGAUUUCCAAAAUUGGUCAGAAAGAGUUUUGGACACCGAUU